Molecule: ribosomal RNA, 468 nt
Filed under: uncultured bacterium
Lineage: Bacteria
Description: partial 16S ribosomal RNA
Rfam family: Bacterial small subunit ribosomal RNA
Source: RNAcentral
GACGAACGCUGGCGGCGUGCUUAACACAUGCAAGUCGAACGGAAAGGCCCUGCUUUUGUGGGGUGCUCGAGUGGCGAACGGGUGAGUAACACGUGAGUAACCUGCCCUUGACUUUGGGAUAACUUCAGGAAACUGGGGCUAAUACCGGAUAGGAGCUCCUGCUGCAUGGUGGGGGUUGGAAAGUUUCGGCGGUUGGGGAUGGACUCGCGGCUUAUCAGCUUGUUGGUGGGGUAGUGGCUUACCAAGGCUUUGACGGGUAGCCGGCCUGAGAGGGUGACCGGCCACAUUGGGACUGAGAUACGGCCCAGACUCCUGCGGGAGGCAGCAGUGGGGAAUAUUGCACAAUGGGCGGAAGCCUGAUGCAGCAACGCCGCGUGCGGGAUGACGGCCUUCGGGUCGUAAACCGCUUUCGCCUGUGACGAAGCGUGAGUGACGGUAAUGGGUAAAGAAGCACCGGCUAACUACGUG